RNAcentral lists this long non-coding RNA (1658 nucleotides) under Felis catus (domestic cat). Its description in RNAcentral is "lncRNA (ENSFCAG00000050700.1)". Lineage: Eukaryota; Metazoa; Chordata; Mammalia; Carnivora; Felidae. The record is from RNAcentral.
UGGCUGACACCCGCAGCGAGCUGGAGUCAUUCUGGGGGACCACACGAGGCUGUGCGUGCCCUUGACACCGUGUGCAGAGAGGGCGCGGCUUAAAGAGGCGGAUGUCCAAUUGUCAUUUGACUGUUUUUCUCUCUAGUUUCUACUUUACUGGUUUAACGAGUCCCCAAGAUCCUCGGCUCCAACCCGGGCUUACAUUUUGGAUUGCUGAUGAGGCUCAGAACAUGCGCGUGCCCCAGCGUUUCACACCGACAGGCAGAGACACACGGGGUGGUCCUUCUCACGGGCCCUCCUCCUCCUGCACCCGCCUGGGGCCUGCGGGCCCGGCAGCCCCGGGUGCCCUGCACGCGCCCUGCUGCCUCCCUGGGACCCCUGCGGCCACCUGCCAGCAGCCGACUUGCUGAGCUAGGAUUUCCCGUGUUGGAAACAGGAAGAAUAAAAAAUAAUCCUCUGGUUACGCAGAGACCCGGUGAGCAGAUCAGUGCGCCCUGAGCAGGCCCCUCAAGUGCAACCCAGCUCUGACCUUCCGCAGAGACCCCCUUCUUCCCAUUAUCGAUUCUUUAAUGGCAUCUAAUGAUGAUGCCUGCGUCCCAGCUCUCCGUACCUGAAGCACACGUCUCACCCCCCCAUCUGUCUAAAUCCUACCUGUACUCUCAAGACACAUCUCAAAUAUCAUUUCAAAUGUCAAAUAACAGAGUGAUCUUUAAAAAAUAUAAAUCAGAUCAUGUCGUUCUCGUGUUUAAAAUCUUUAAUGGUUCCGACUGCCCUUUCCACACAGCCGGAGGGCACCCUGCACCAGGCCCACAGCCCCCGUUUGGGUGCCCAGUGUGCUGGCUGCCUCCAGCCCCCAGGCCAGGCCUGGCUCGUACAGACUGGGGGGCUGGACCCUUGGUGCCCUUCGCCAGGAACGUCUUCCCGGCUUCUGCCUGGCCUGUGUCGCAGCCAGGUCCUUGUCCAAGUACACGGAACCUGGGGGACCCUGGCCCUGAGUGCCCACGCAGGGUAGCUGCUGCGGCGUGCACGCAGCGGCCCCGGUCCCCACCUGUGGAGGUGACGUGUGGCCCCAGGGGCCUCGCAGAGGCAAUGGACGGUGCAGGCGGUGAGAGCGUGAGGCGGCUGCCCCCAAGGGAAUCGUGUGUUCCGGAAAGUGGGAGGGGGCAGGUGGGUCAGAGAGGCCGUGGGAAGGGCUCACCCUGCCUUGCUGCCUUGCAGGAUGUCACAGGGGAGGGGCCGCCUGCCAGGGACGCAGGUGGCCCCAGGAGCUGGGCGCGGCCCUCGGCCCUGCAACCCUCUGGUGGGGGACGGUGGUCCCAGGGCAGCAGCUGGCCCGCAGUGGGGCUGAGCCUGGGGCCUCCUCACCUUCCUGACCCAUUCACUCCAAGGUGACACAUUCUGUGGUGAAGCUGCUCCACUUGUGGUAAUUGAUUAGGGCAGCGACAGAAAACCAGGAGGGACCUGUUCAUCCCUGACCACGCCACGCAAUUCUGUUUUCUCUGAGGCUCUUGCCCUCUGAAGUGCAGUCAUUUUGUCCUGUCCCUUGUCUGUCUUCAGAGCCUACACCCCCAGCUGACCUGUGAACUUGGCAGGCAUGCCCCCCUACUCACCCUGUGGGCACAGGUGGGCGGGGGGGGGGUGAGUAGCAGGGGUGGGAGGGCAGCAGG